RNAcentral lists this ribosomal RNA (704 nucleotides) under uncultured Actinomycetes bacterium. RNAcentral describes it as "bacterial SSU rRNA". It matches the Rfam family "Bacterial small subunit ribosomal RNA", at positions 40 to 757 of the family's 1533-position model. The record is from RNAcentral. Lineage: Bacteria; Bacillati; Actinomycetota; Actinomycetes.
CGGCGUGCUUAACACAUGCAAGUCGAACGAUGAUGGGAGCUUGCUCCUGGAUUAGUGGCGAACGGGUGAGUAACACGUGAGUAACCUGCCCUUAACUCUGGGAUAAGCCUGGGAAACUGGGUCUAAUACCGGAUAUGACUCCUCAUCGCAUGGUGGGGGGUGGAAAGCUUUAUUGUGGUUUUGGAUGGACUCGCGGCCUAUCAGCUUGUUGGUGAGGUAAUGGCUUACCAAGGCGACGACGGGUAGCCGGCCUGAGAGGGUGACCGGCCACACUGGGACUGAGACACGGCCCAGACUCCUACGGGAGGCAGCAGUGGGGAAUAUUGCACAAUGGGCGCAAGCCUGAUGCAGCGACGCCGCGUGAGGGAUGACGGCCUUCGGGUUGUAAACCUCUUUCAGUAGGGAAGAAGCGAAAGUGACGGUACCUGCAGAAGAAGCGCCGGCUAACUACGUGCCAGCAGCCGCGGUAAUACGUAGGGCGCAAGCGUUAUCCGGAAUUAUUGGGCGUAAAGAGCUCGUAGGCGGUUUGUCGCGUCUGCCGUGAAAGUCCGGGGCUCAACUCCGGAUCUGCGGUGGGUACGGGCAGACUAGAGUGAUGUAGGGGAGACUGGAAUUCCUGGUGUAGCGGUGAAAUGCGCAGAUAUCAGGAGGAACACCGAUGGCGAAGGCAGGUCUCUGGGCAUUAACUGACGCUGAGGAGCGAA